GACGAACGCUGGCGGCGUGCUUAACACAUGCAAGUCGAACGGACAGGCCCUGCUUUUGCUGGGUGCUCGUGUGGCGAACGCGUGAGUAACACGCGAGUAUCCUGCCCUUGUCUUUGGGAUAACUUUAGGAAACUGGGGCUCAUACCGGAUAGGAGCUUCUGCUGCACGGUGGGGGUUGGAAAGUUACGGCGGUUGGGGCUGUACUCGCGGUGUAUCAGCUUGUUGGUGGGGUAGUUGCUUACCUAGGCUGGGACGGGUAGCCCACCUGACCGGGUGGCCGGCCGCACUGGAAGUGAGACACGGUCCAGAGUCCUACGGGAGGCAGCAGUAGGGAAUCGGCCGCAAUGGGCGGAAGCCUGACGGAGCAGCGCCGAGGGAGUGAUGAAGGUCUUCGGAUCGUAAAACUCUGUUAUUAGGGAAGAACAUAUGUGUAAGUGACUGGGCACAUCGUGACGGUACCUGGUCAGAAAGCCACGGCUAACUACGUG
Molecule: ribosomal RNA, 488 nt
Filed under: uncultured bacterium
Lineage: Bacteria
Description: partial 16S ribosomal RNA
Rfam family: Bacterial small subunit ribosomal RNA
Source: RNAcentral